This 526-nucleotide ribosomal RNA is filed under the name uncultured bacterium. RNAcentral's name for it is "bacterial SSU rRNA". It matches the Rfam family "Bacterial small subunit ribosomal RNA", at positions 778 to 1302 of the family's 1533-position model. The record is from RNAcentral.
AUAGAUACCCAGGUAGUCCACGCCGUAAACGAUGAGUGCUAAGUGUUAGAGGGUUUCCGCCCUUUAGUGCUGCAGCUAACGCAUUAAGCACUCCGCCUGGGGAGUACGGUCGCAAGACUGAAACUCAAAGGAAUUGACGGGGGCCCGCACAAGCGGUGGAGCAUGUGGUUUAAUUCGAAGCAACGCGAAGAACCUUACCAGGUCUUGACAUCCUCUGACAACUCUAGAGAUAGAGCGUUCCCCUUCGGGGGACAGAGUGACAGGUGGUGCAUGGUUGUCGUCAGCUCGUGUCGUGAGAUGUUGGGUUAAGUCCCGCAACGAGCGCAACCCUUGAUCUUAGUUGCCAGCAUUUAGUUGGGCACUCUAAGGUGACUGCCGGUGACAAACCGGAGGAAGGUGGGGAUGACGUCAAAUCAUCAUGCCCCUUAUGACCUGGGCUACACACGUGCUACAAUGGAUGGUACAAAGGGCUGCAAGACCGCGAGGUCAAGCCAAUCCCAUAAAACCAUUCUCAGUUCGGAUUGGU